GGAGGUACAAGUAUCGAGCUACGUCAAAUGGAUAUCACAGAAAACUGACCAUAAAUGCAAUGCGUAUUUAAAAAAAGAUAGGGGGUCUGGACAUAGGUGAGAAUUCAGAUUCUAGCAUCACUGAUGUGAAUUGUGUAUAGCCGAAAUGCGUUCUCGGUGUAAAUAAAAAUCAUAAAUCCGAUGCCUUUGAUAACGGCAAUUGGCUAUCUAUUUUAAAAGCAAACUGAUGCACAGCAAGUGAUUGGCCCACCACCACAGCAUAAUUACAAAGCACUUUCCGUCAAUAUGGAGUAACAAAAACGGUAUCAAACCCCGCAGAGACCCAUAACACUGCCAGGCAAUGAAAGCUACCUGCUACAAUUGUGCCGAAUAAACAGAAAAGACCCACAGCAAGUGAUGGGGACCAAGGCAACCAUAAAAAGUCAAAGAUAGGGGAAUACGAGAGCAAUUCGCCACCAAUAUCACAUGUAUCGGGGUUUGAUGAGAAUACAAUGUUUAAUUUAAAUAAUAAAUAUCUUUUUUCCAGUUGUAAUAUAUAUAUAUAUAUUAUUAUUUUUUAAUUAUUUUUUUUCAUUCUAAACUUCCAUAAGAAUGAUAUAUCCUUAUGGAAGUCACAUUUUAUCACUCGAUAGUGUAAUGGGUCUAAUUUUAAUUCGUAUGAGAAAACUCAAUAAUUGAGUUAUUUUUCACACACGUUUUUUUUGUCUGAAAGAACGUACUAAUAUAGUAAGAUCACUGGUAGAUGCGAUUCACAGUGCUAGUCAAUGCAACAAGAUAAGAAUUACUAGAAAAAAGAAAUUGAUAAUUUGGUAUAAAUCAAAUUGUCCGCCACGGAGAUUGAAAUUCAAGCACAUAAACAGUAUGUAGGGUCACUGACACGAGAAGGGAAUGACUUCAAAAGACAUCUCCGAGUCAUGCACUGGAUCACAGGUUCAAAUAUUGAACCUCAUGAAGGCAGUUACUAUGAUCAAUGUGUCCUAUACUAUAUAAGGAAUCUGAAAGUGUGGUUUUUCCGAAGUGGGUCAAUUUCUAGCACCAAGUAGCAAUAAAAGAGAGUGGUGAAUAAUUGCUUUAUAAUUGGUUGAUUGAUUGAUUGUUGGUUGCUUAACGUCCAGUGGCAAAUAUUUCAUGCAUAUUCAGGACGAGAACAAGUUCACAAUAAAUACAAU
RNAcentral lists this long non-coding RNA (1169 nucleotides) under Mytilus galloprovincialis (Mediterranean mussel). The record is from RNAcentral. Lineage: Eukaryota; Metazoa; Mollusca; Bivalvia; Mytilida; Mytilidae.